GUACAUAAAAUAUAUUUUGUUACUUUUUCACUAUACUUACAUUAGAUCUAUAUUAAUAGCUUAAGUCAUUAUUAUUAGUUACCUAAUUUUGCCAAAAUCAUUCAUUUCUAAAAAAAUUAUGCAUAUAUAAGUGUGUAUGUUUAUUUUGCAUGAGUGCAUGUGCUUGCAUUGAGCUGUUUUUCCAGGCCCCCACCCUCAAAUUAUACUUGUUUUUGUUGUUUAUAGUUUGAUUUUUUUCUUCUUGGUUUAAUAUGUGUUUCUGAUAGGUUGUAGGAAGGAAGACAGGAUUACUUGUAGUGCGUAGUGCUUAAAAGAAAGUACUUCAGUGUAAUGAUAACAUGGAUUAAAAAAUUAAUUACUUUAAAUUUAUAUUGUAUCUUUCCUCUGAAAUCUCAAGCCCUCACAUAGAGACUAUAAAAUUAUGGGAACCCAGGAGCUAAGCCUUGGUGGAAAGAGUGCUGUAUCAGGAAAAAAAAAAAAAAAGAAACAUGUUCUGUUAGAUGCAGAAUCUUUCUACUCCAGACCCAAUGAAGCACAAUGUGCAUUUUAUUUUAUUACUUAUUAAAAUAUAUGUGAUUUGUAUUAACAUAUACUAAUUGUAAAAAGAAAUAGGUUUCGUUGUCACAUUCCAUAUAUGCAUAAGAUAUUCAUGGCUCCUUCUAUUAUCUUAUAUCCUCUUUUCUUUCCCCUUCCCUUUCCCUUCUAAACCUCUAAUAGUCUCUCUUUAGCUUUUAUGUCCUUUCCCUGGAUGUCACAAAUGAGAGAAAAUGUCACACUUUUCUUUUUGAUAAUUGGCUUAUUUCACUUAACAUGAUUGAUCUCAGAAUAUGUAUUUAAAAAAGAGAUCUGGUGCUAGCAAAAUUCCUCAGCAUGUAGAAGCACUUGCUGUUAACCCUGAUAACCUGAGUUUGAUCUCCAGGACGUACAUGGUGACCAGAGAGAAUUGACUUCCUGAAGUUGUCCUGCAAGUUUUACAUGUGUACAUGGCAGUUCCAUCCAUUUGCCUACAAAUUCCAUAAUUGACAGCUGAAUAAUAAUCCAUUAUGUAAAGCCCACCAUGAGGUAGACAACUUUGCCUCAUCCCAAGUCCCUCCAUGAUGUUCUCCCUCAACACAGGCCCAAAAUCAACAGAACCAGCCAACUGUGGAUGAAACCUCUAAGUCAUGAACCCAAGUUCUACCCAUGAGUGAACAAUUUAGUGGGGAGGAAAGAAGAAGAAAAAUAUUCAUGUUUGCGGAAAUGCGGUCACUGUCUUUUUCUCUAUGACUGGCAAGAAAUAUGAUCUUGUAUGGAAACUUCCUUUCUCCUUGUGAGUGCCAAGAAAUAUGAUCUUGUCCAUCAGAAGACACACCUGGAUUAGAAGACAAAAAACCAUUUGGCUCCAGUGCUGCUAAAUAUUACUUGAGAUAUGAAAAAGUGAUCCAACUUUCCUGGAACCUGUGUUUUCAAAUCAACGAAAUUGGGCUUAUAUGUUUCUACCUUGACUCUCUUAGAGUUGUUAAAGGCUCUAGAGAGAUGGCUCAGUGGUUAAGAGAACUUGCUGCUCUUCUGAAGGACCUGAGUUCUGCUCCUGACACUGACAGUGGAUGCUCCACAAUUGCCUGUAAACUCUAACUCCAGGGUCUCUGACACCCUCUGGUUUAUAUGGAUACUCACAUGCAUAUGACAUGCACACAGAGACAUACACAUAAAAUAAAAACAAAUAUUGAAAACAUGACUUGCUAAAAAUGAAAUCAUGAAAUUUUCAGGUAAAUAGAUACAAGUGGAAAAUAUACUGAGCGAGGCACCCCAGAUCCAGAAAGACAAAUGCUGCAUGUUCUCUCUUAUUUGUAGUUCUAAGCUCUGAAUCUUUAGAUUUGCAUAUACAACAAGAGGUAAAGGGGUCAUAGAGAGGGGUGAAAAGGGAACUCUAGAAUGGGGGAGAGUAUGAGGCUGGUGCAAUGAAGAAGUUAAUGGGAAAAUAGGGAGACUUUAACUGCAGAAGUGGGUAAAAGGUUAAUAUAGGAAGAGAGGAAGGAAGGAGUGAUAACACCAAAGAUGCUUGAA
Molecule: long non-coding RNA, 2046 nt
Organism: Peromyscus leucopus (white-footed mouse)
Lineage: Eukaryota; Metazoa; Chordata; Mammalia; Rodentia; Cricetidae
Exons: 4
Source: RefSeq, a predicted model, not a curated record